UAGGGAGACCAUCUGAUAGUCGACCGAACCUAAACAAUAGGUCAAUAUCAGUCAUCCCUGGUCGUUCGAGGAAUAGAUGUCAAAGCUUUCAAACUAUUAACUGGUUCAGAACUCGCGGGCUAUUAGCUCAGUUGGUUAGAGCGCACCCCUGAUAAGGGUGAGGUCCCUGGUUCAAAUCCAGGAUGGCCCACCUGGAAAAAAAGUGAUGAAUUGUAAGUAAUGAGUAAUGGAUAAUCAAGGAUUAAUUCAAAACUCAUACAAUCAAAAUCAGAACUUGCUUAGUGGGGGUAUAGCUCAGUUGGUAGAGCGCCUGCCUUGCACGCAGGAAGUCAGCGGUUCGAGUCCGCUUACCUCCACUCUCACUAACUAGAACCAAAAAAAAACAAAAGAAAUAGGAAUCAGCACCCAGACUAACUUGGUCUAUUGAGAUCACAGAAGUGAGAUCACAGAAGUCGGAAUGCUGGAGUCUAGAACUCUAGUCAGAACCUUGAAAACUGCAUAGAAAUUAAGUCAUCAAAGCGUGUCUAUUAUCCGAUUGCUCGGAAGAUAUGACAAGCGACACCAUGAAAAAAUCAAGU
RNAcentral lists this transfer RNA (578 nucleotides) under Microcoleus vaginatus CCALA 757. RNAcentral's name for it is "partial 16S-23S ribosomal RNA intergenic spacer". The stretch from base 284 to 356 matches the Rfam family "tRNA". The record is from RNAcentral. Lineage: Bacteria; Bacillati; Cyanobacteriota; Cyanophyceae; Oscillatoriales; Microcoleaceae.